This 801-nucleotide long non-coding RNA is filed under the name Rattus norvegicus (Norway rat). RNAcentral describes it as "long non-coding RNA NONRATT029756". The record is from RNAcentral. Lineage: Eukaryota; Metazoa; Chordata; Mammalia; Rodentia; Muridae.
GUGAUCAGUAUGCGUAAGGUUCUGGGUUCAGAGACUGAAAGGAUGGCUUAAUGGUGAGCAGCGUGCUCGCUCUCGCUCUCUCUCUCUCUCUCUGUUUUCUGAGACAGGGUUUCUCUAUGUAACAGCCCUAUCCUGGACUCACUUUGUAGACCAGGCUGGCCUCAAACUUAAAUAGAUCUUCCUGCCUCUGCCUCCUGAGUCCUGGGAUUUUUAUUCAGUCCAGUUUAUGGAAUGGUGUUGACCACAAUUAGAUGGGUCUUUCCCCCUCAAAUAACCUACCCUAAAUAAUCAUAUGUGUGUGUGUGUGUGUGUGUGUGUGUAUGUGUGUGUGUGUGUGUGUGUGUGUGUGUGUGUGUGUGUGUGUGUGUAUGUAUAUAUAUGCAUGCCUAGGGGCUAUACUUAUCUAAAUAAUCCUUCACAGGUAUGUCCAGGGGUUUUUCUCCUGCAUGAUUCUACCAUCACAGUGAAACAGUGUCUAGAAGAGAAAUUUAGGAAGAGCCCACGUGCUAACUUGAAACAGUGUACAAUAAGUCAUCAGUCAUUGGGGGGAGCUUACAAAGGAAUAAAAGAAAUUAAAUCCAAACAGGUGAUAAUAGAUGAAGAAACUCAGGUUAAUGAUUUGACAUACUUACAUACACAAAAAAUAGAACUAGUAUUCUCUCCUAGUUCAGUUAUCAUUCAUCAUUACUCAAAUUGGGGUUAUUAAAUGGUAAUAGAAAAUACCAAUACCUUAAAUAGACCCUAAAUUUUCAGUCGUAUUUCAUUGGCAUUUGAAGGUACUGUGUUAUAAGUAAAAGUUUA